UGGGGAAUAUUGCACAAUGGGCGAAAGCCUGAUGCAGCGACGCCGCGUGCGGGAUGAAGGCCUUCGGGUUGUAAACCGCUUUUGAUUGGGAGCAAGCGAGAGUGAGUGUACCUUUCGAAUAAGCACCGGCUAACUACGUGCCAGCAGCCGCGGUAAUACGUAGGGUGCAAGCGUUAUCCGGAAUUAUUGGGCGUAAAGAGCUCGUAGGCGGUUUGUCGCGUCUGGUGUGAAAGUCCAUCGCUUAACGGUGGAUCUGCGCCGGGUACGGGCAGGCUAGAGUGCGACAGGGGAGACUGGAAUUCCCGGUGUAACGGUGGAAUGUGUAGAUAUCGGGAAGAACACCAAUGGCGAAGGCAGGUCUCUGGGUCGUCACUGACGCUGAGGAGCGAAAGCGUGGGGAGCGAACAGGAUUAGAUACCCUGGUAGUCCACGCCGUAAACGGUGGAUGCUGGAUGUGGGGCCCAUUCCACGGGUUCCGUGUCGGAGCUAACGC
Molecule: ribosomal RNA, 493 nt
Filed under: uncultured bacterium
Lineage: Bacteria
Description: partial 16S ribosomal RNA
Rfam family: Bacterial small subunit ribosomal RNA
Source: RNAcentral